Molecule: ribosomal RNA, 478 nt
Filed under: uncultured bacterium
Lineage: Bacteria
Description: partial 16S ribosomal RNA
Rfam family: Bacterial small subunit ribosomal RNA
Source: RNAcentral
GACGAACGCUGGCGGCGUGCUUAACACAUGCAAGUCGAACGGUAAGGCCCUUCGGGGUACACGAGUGGCGAACGGGUGAGUAACACGUGGGUGAUCUGCCCUGCACUUCGGGAUAAGCCUGGGAAACUGGGUCUAAUACCGGAUAGGACUCCUGGCUUCCUGGUUGGGGGUGGAAAGCUUUUGCGGUGUGGGAUGGGCCCGCGGCCUAUCAGCUUGUUGGUGGGGUAAUGGCCUACCAAGGCGACGACGGGUAGCCGGCCUGAGAGGGUGACCGGUCACACUGGGACUGAGAUACGGCCCAGACUCCUACGGGAGGCAGCAGUGGGGAAUAUUGCACAAUGGGCGCAAGCCCGAUGCAGCGACGCCGCGUGAGGGAUGACGGCCUUCGGGUUGUAAACCUCUUUCAGCUAUGACGAAGCGCAAGUGACGGUAGUAGCAGAAGAAGGACCGGCCAACUACGUGCCAGCAGCCGCCGUAA